CCUACGGGAGGCUGCAGUGAGGACUAUUGGUCAAUGGCCGUAAGGCUGAACCAGCCAAGUCGCGUGAAGGAAGAAGGAUCUAUGGUUUGUAAACUUCUUUUCUAGGGGAAUAAAGGUAUCCACGUGUGGAUAUUUGCAUUUACCCUAUGAAUAAGCCUCGGCUAACUCCGUGCCAGCAGCCGCGGUACUCCGGCGGAUGCGAGCGUUAUCCGGAUUUCUUUGUUUUAAAGGGUGCGUAGAUGGGUUGUUACGUCAGUUGUGAAAGUUUGCGGCUCAACCGUAAAAUUGCAAUUGAUACUGGCAGUAUGGAGUACAGUUGAGGGAGGCGGAAUUCGUGGUGUAGCGGUGAAAUGCUUAGAUAUCACGAAGAACUCCGAUUGCGAAGGCAGCUUACUAAACUGCCACUGACAUUGAUGCUCGAAAGUGUGGGUAUCAAACAGGAUUAGAUACCCUGGUAGUC
RNAcentral lists this ribosomal RNA (460 nucleotides) under uncultured bacterium. RNAcentral's name for it is "partial 16S ribosomal RNA". It matches the Rfam family "Bacterial small subunit ribosomal RNA", at positions 338 to 795 of the family's 1533-position model. The record is from RNAcentral.